RNAcentral lists this ribosomal RNA (858 nucleotides) under uncultured bacterium. RNAcentral's name for it is "bacterial SSU rRNA". It matches the Rfam family "Bacterial small subunit ribosomal RNA", at positions 21 to 870 of the family's 1533-position model. The record is from RNAcentral.
GGCUCAGAAUGAACGCUGGCGGCGUGCCUAACAGAUGCCAGUCUAAUGUGCCGCAUGGUGCAUGGCAGACGGGUGAGUAACACCUGGGCAAUCUACCUUCUCGUGGGGAAUAACGCUCCUAACGGAUAGGUAAUACCGCAUGAGACCAACGGCUGGGAUGCUGUAGGAGAACCCUGGGGACCGCAAGGCUUGAGGCGAGAAGAGGAACCUGCGUAUGAUGAGCUAGUUGGUGGGGUAACGGCCUACCAAGGCAUCGAUCAGUAGCCGGCAUGAGAGGGUGAUCGGCCACACUGGAACUGAGACACGGUCCAGACUCCUACGGGAGGCAGCAGUGUGGAAUUUUGCGCACUGGGCGAAAGCCUGAUGCAGCAACGCCGCGUGGGUGAUGAAGGUUUUCUGAUCGUAAAACCCUGUCGUGGUGGACGAAGGUGGGGAGGUUAAUAGCUUCUAUGCUUGACGGUACCGGGAGAUGAAGCCCCGGUUAACUUUGCGCCAGCAGCCGUCGGUAAUAUAGAGGGGGCUAGCGUUAUUAGGAAUUAUUGGGUGUAAAGGGCGCGUAGGCGGUUUUUUAAGUAAGAUGUGUAAUCCCCGAGCUCAACUCGGGAAUUGCAUUUGAGACUGGAAGGCUAGAGUACUGGAGAGGGUGGUGGAAUUCCUCGUGUAGCGGUGAAAUGCGUAGAGAUGAGGAGGAACACCAGUGGCGAAGGCGGCCACCUGGACAGUAACUGACGAUGAGGCGCUAAAGUGCGGGUAGCAAACAGGAUUAGAUACCCUGGUAGUCCGCACUGUAAACGAUGAACACUUGGUGUGGAGGGAGUUGACCCCUUCCGUGCCGGAGCUAAUCGCGUUAAGUGUUCC